Long non-coding RNA from Magallana angulata, 325 nucleotides. RefSeq lists it as uncharacterized. NCBI's taxonomy places the organism in Eukaryota, Metazoa, Mollusca, Bivalvia, Ostreida, Ostreidae. The transcript has 3 exons. The record is from RefSeq and is a predicted model, not a curated record.
AUUUGAUAGUCAAUAACUCCCCGUGUAAGACAAAUACUUGAACUGUUUAAUAAUGCUCGGUCGCCUUCGCUGAUUACACUAGCUAUAGAUGGGGGUAAUGUAAGAUAUAAAUACCUGUAUAUAGUAACCGACCCAACAGGGAAUUAUUUACCACCAGGCAAACAUGUCAGGCAGAAGCAACCGUGGGUUGUCCGCCAUUGCGCGCGUGAAGAUGGGCGCCGUUCUGAGCAAUUAAAAAUCUAAACACAAUCAGCUGUGUAGUGCAAAUUUAACAUGGAAGGCCAAAUGUCACAUGGCUCCAAUUCGUCCAAGUUGGAAAGUCCGG